UACGUAGGGUGCGAGCGUUGUCCGGAUUUAUUGGGUUUAAAGGGUGCGUAGGUGGUUAAUUAAGUCAGUGGUGAAAGGGUAUUGCUCAACAAUAGAAUUGCCAUUGAUACUGGUUGACUUGAGUACGGUAGAGGUUGGUGGAAUGGAUGGUGUAGCGGUGAAAUGCAUAGAUAUCAUCCAGAACGUCAAUUGCGAAGGCAGCUGACUAUGCCGUUACUGACACUGAGGCACGAAAGUGUGGGGAUCAAACAGG
Molecule: ribosomal RNA, 253 nt
Filed under: uncultured bacterium
Lineage: Bacteria
Description: partial 16S ribosomal RNA
Rfam family: Bacterial small subunit ribosomal RNA
Source: RNAcentral